UACAGAGGUCCCAAGCGUUGUUCGGAUUCAUUGGGCGUAAAGGGUGCGUAGGCGGCGCGGUAAGUCGGGUGUGAAAUCUCGGAGCUUAACUCCGAAACUGCAUUCGAUACUGCCGUGCUUGAGGACUGGAGAGGAGACUGGAAUUUACGGUGUAGCGGUGAAAUGCGUAGAGAUGUGGAGGAACACCGAUGGCGAAGGCAGCCCCCUGGGCCGAUACUGACGCUCAUGCACGAAAGCGUGGGGAGCAAACAGG
Molecule: ribosomal RNA, 253 nt
Filed under: uncultured bacterium
Lineage: Bacteria
Description: partial 16S ribosomal RNA
Rfam family: Bacterial small subunit ribosomal RNA
Source: RNAcentral